GUGGGGAAUAUUGGACAAUGGGGGGAACCCUGAUCCAGCCAUGCCGCGUGUGUGAAGAAGGCCUUUUGGUUGUAAAGCACUUUAAGCGAGGAGGAGGCUACCGAGAUUAAUACUCUUGGAUAGUGGACGUUACUCGCAGAAUAAGCACCGGCUAACUCUGUGCCAGCAGCCGCGGUAAUACAGAGGGUGCAAGCGUUAAUCGGAUGUACUGGGCGUAAAGCGCGCGUAGGUGGCCAAUUAAGUCAAAUGUGAAAUCCCCGAGCUUAACUUGGGAAUUGCAUUCGAUACUGGUUGGCUAGAGUAUGGGAGAGGAUGGUAGAGUUCCAGGUGUAGCGGUGAAAUGCGUAGAGAUCUGGAGGAAUACCGAUGGCGAAGGCAGCCAUCUGGCCUAAUACUGACACUGAGGUGCGAAAGCAUGGGGAGCAAACAGGAUUAGAUACCCUGGUAGUCC
Molecule: ribosomal RNA, 451 nt
Filed under: uncultured bacterium
Lineage: Bacteria
Description: partial 16S ribosomal RNA
Rfam family: Bacterial small subunit ribosomal RNA
Source: RNAcentral